UUCGUAGCUAUUUUUUGGUCUAGUGGUAUUCGUAUCAUAUGUAGAAUUGCUGUAUAGACUCGCAAGUAAUUUGGCACUCAAAACGAAGUAUUAUUCAACGCUUUUUCCCAUUAGAAACCUUUCAGAAAUAGCUUUUUUUUAAAAAGAAAAUGUUGUUUUGUUUUGAUCAUGCGGUUGCGUGGGAUAGUUCACGUACUGGUCCCGCGAAGAUCCCGCACGCAACUGUAGGGAGCCUCCUUAACUACACUUUG
Paramuricea clavata is the source of this 251-nucleotide non-coding RNA. The record is from the annotation of a GenBank genome assembly. Lineage: Eukaryota; Metazoa; Cnidaria; Anthozoa; Malacalcyonacea; Plexauridae.